RNAcentral lists this long non-coding RNA (1300 nucleotides) under Homo sapiens (human). RNAcentral describes it as "HSALNT0343047". Lineage: Eukaryota; Metazoa; Chordata; Mammalia; Primates; Hominidae. The record is from RNAcentral.
CUGAUCUCUGACCUGCGUUCUUAGCUGGGACGUCGAGUUCUCCCAGGAUAAUUAUCGACCAGCAGAACCAGCCUGAAACCACCACUGAAACACAAUUUAUGCCUUGCUAUCUUCCUAAGGAUUAAGCAUCUGGGUAAGAAUACACAUCCUGGGAAGGACGCUACCCAGUCAUUUUAUCUACCCCCAUCGCUGUUAAAGUGGCUGGAGUUGAGUCUUGGAUACAUCACACUCAAGUCAAACCCUGGAUACUGCCAAAGGAACCCGAAAAUCCGGGAGACUACACUAGCUAUUCCUGUGAACCUCUAGAGGAUCUGCGCCUGCUCUUCAAGUGACAACCGUGAGGAAAGUAACUAGAAUCAUACAUCCCCAUGGCCCUCCCUUGUCAUAUUUUUCUCUUUACUGUUCUCUUACCCCCUUUCACUCUCACUGCACCUCCUCCAUGCCUCUGUACUACCAGUAGCUCCCCUUAGCAAGAGCUUCUAUGGAGAAUGCAGCUUCCUGGAAAUGUUGAUGCCCCAUCGUAUAGGAGUUUUUCUAAAGGAAACCCCACUUUCACCGCCCACACCCAUAUGCCCCUGCACUUCAGGCCAUACAUGUCAAUCCCUGUAUCUUUAACCUGCUUGUUAAGUUUGUCUCUUCCAGAACCAAAGCUGUAAAACUACAAAUCAUUCUUCAAAUGGAGCCCCAGAUGCAGAUCAUGUCUAAGAUCUACCGCGGACCCCUGGACUAGCCUGCUAGCCCAUGCCCUGAUGUUAAUGACAUUGAAGUCACCCCUCCUGAGGAAAUCUCAACUGCAUGACCCCUACUACACCCCAAUUCAGCAGGAAGCAGUUAACAGUGGUCGUUGGCUGACCUCCCCAACAGCACUUGGGUUUUCCUGUUGAGAGGGGGCACUGAGAGACAGGACUAGCUGGAUUUCCUAGGACUAAGAAUUCCUAAGCCUAGCUGGGGAAGGUGACUGCAACCAUCUUUAAACACAAGGCUUGUAUCUCAGCUCACACCUGACCAAUCAGGUAAUAAAGAGGUCUCACUAAAAUACAAAUUAGGCUAAAAGCAGGAGGUAAAGAAAUAGUCAAAUUACGUCUCAUCUGAGAGCACAAGGGAGGGAUAAUGAUUGUGAUAUAAACCCCCAGGCAUUCGAGCCGGGAGUGGACAACCCCUUUUGGGUCCCCUCCCAUUGUAUGGGAGCUCUGUUUUCACUCUAUUAAAUCUUGCAACUGCACACUCUUCUGGUCCAUAUUUGUUACGGCUCGAGCUGAGCUUUAGCUCACUGUCCACCACUGCUGUUUGCCGCCAUCGU